RNAcentral lists this ribosomal RNA (433 nucleotides) under uncultured bacterium. RNAcentral's name for it is "partial 16S ribosomal RNA". It matches the Rfam family "Bacterial small subunit ribosomal RNA", at positions 29 to 507 of the family's 1533-position model. The record is from RNAcentral.
AACGAACGCUGGCGGCAUGCCUAACACAUGCAAGUCGAACGAGACCUUCGGGUCUAGUGGCGCACGGGUGCGUAACGCGUGGGAACCUGCCCGUAGGUUCGGAAUAACUCCCCGAAAGGGGUGCUAAUACCGGAUAAUGUCUUCGGACCAAAGAUUUAUCGUCUUUGGAUGGGCCCGCGUUGGAUUAGCUAGUUGGUAGGGUAAAAGCCUACCAAGGCGACAAUCCAUAGCUGGUCUGAGAGGAUGAUCAGCCACACUGGGACUGAGACACGGCCCAGACUCCUACGGGAGGCAGCAGUGGGGAAUAUUGGUCAUGGGGCGAAAGCCUGCGCCAGCCAUGCCGCGUGUGUGAUGAAGGCCUUAGGGUUGUAAAGCUCUUUUACCCGGGAUGAUAAUGACAGUACCGGGAGAAUAAGCUCCGGCUAACUCCGUG